UACGUAGGGUGCAAGCGUUGUCCGGAAUUAUUGGGCGUAAAGAGCUCGUAGGCGGUCUGUCGCGUCGGCUGUGAAAGUCCAGGGCUCAACCCUGGGAUGCCGGUGGAUACUGCUGGACUAGAGUGCGGAAGGGGCUACUGGAAUUCUCGGUGUAGCGGUGAAAUGCGUAGAUAUCGAGAGGAACACCUGCGGCGAAGGCGGGUAGCUGGGCCGACACUGACGCUGAGGCGCGAAAGCCAGGGGAGCGAACGGG
This 253-nucleotide ribosomal RNA is filed under the name uncultured bacterium. Its description in RNAcentral is "partial 16S ribosomal RNA". It matches the Rfam family "Bacterial small subunit ribosomal RNA", at positions 524 to 776 of the family's 1533-position model. The record is from RNAcentral.